RNAcentral lists this long non-coding RNA (570 nucleotides) under Physcomitrium patens. RNAcentral's name for it is "long non-coding RNA (PPAT_LNC007693)". The record is from RNAcentral. Lineage: Eukaryota; Viridiplantae; Streptophyta; Bryopsida; Funariales; Funariaceae.
AAGAGGACGAAUGAGUGAUUUAGUUAUUAAAAGUGGUUAAUUAUAGAAUUACAUUUAAAAUUUGAAGAAUCAAAAGAAAGUAUAUAGGAGUUGUAGAAGUUAAUUAGGGUGCCAGACUAUGAAAGUCGUAAGCCAAGGGCCAGACUGUAAGAGUCGUAAGCCGAGGGCCAGACUGUGAUAGUCAUGAGCCAAAGGCCAUUGCUGUGAUAGUGUGAGCCGGGAUAAGCUUGGUGCUACCUCUUUUCUUUUGUUUGUUAUUUUUUUUGAAUAAGAAGAUUGAGAGUUUUUGAAUAUUGUGAAGUAAAUUAUGGAAUGGAAAUUUGAUUGGUAUUAUUUGAGAAGAAGAAAGACUGAAGUUUAGCAGAAAAAAUGAGUCUGUGUUUGUGUGAAACAUUGUAAUGUGAAUGGCAGUUCUGUGUGAAGAAUUCCAGUGAUUGGAACAAAGGUAAUUGUGUGUUGAAAGCUGUGAGGGCACAGUAUUACAGUUAGAGAUUAUGAGGGUGAAUAUAUUGGUAGAAAUAGCAGUUACUGGUAUGACUGAAUUGUUAUAAGGAAGAGAUCGAUAAGGUG